AAUCCCGCGAGGACAACCAGGAUAGGACAUCGGGCUCCGAACCCGAAGACCGUGGGUUCAAAUCCCACCGGUCCCU
This 76-nucleotide transfer RNA is filed under the name Crenarchaeota archaeon 13_1_40CM_3_52_10. Its description in RNAcentral is "tRNA-Arg". It matches the Rfam family "tRNA", at positions 14 to 71 of the family's 71-position model. Rfam says of the family: Transfer RNA (tRNA) molecules are approximately 80 nucleotides in length. Their secondary structure includes four short double-helical elements and three loops (D, anti-codon, and T loops). Lineage: Archaea; Thermoproteati; Thermoproteota. The record is from RNAcentral.